This 465-nucleotide ribosomal RNA is filed under the name uncultured bacterium. RNAcentral's name for it is "partial 16S ribosomal RNA". It matches the Rfam family "Bacterial small subunit ribosomal RNA", at positions 28 to 507 of the family's 1533-position model. The record is from RNAcentral.
GACGAACGCUGGCGGCGUGCUUAACACAUGCAAGUCGUACGGUAAGGCCCUCUAGGGGGUACACGAGUGGCGACCGGGUGAUAAACACGUGCGUAAUCUGCCCACAACUUUGGGAUAACGCUAGGAAACUGGUGCUAAUACUGUAUAUGUUCUCCUGCUGCAUGGUGGGGGUUGGAAAGCUCCGGCGGUUGUGGCUGGACUCGCGGCCUAUCAGCUUGUUGGUGGGGUAGUGGCCUACCAAGGCGGCGACGGGUAGCCGGCCUGAGAGGGUGACCGGCCACAUUGGGACUGAGAUACGGCCCAGACUGCUACGGGAGGCAGCAGUGGGGAAUAUUGCACAAUGGGCGCAAGCCUGAUGCAGCAACGCCGCGUGCGGGAGGACGGCCUUCGGGUUGGAAACCGCUUUCAGCAGGGACGAAGCGUUUUGUGACGGUACCUGCAGAAGAAGCACCGGCUAACUACGUG